GACGAACGCUGGCGGCGCGCUUAACACAUGCAAGUCGAGCGAUGAAAUUUCGACAGAUCCCUUCGGGGUGAAGAUGAAAUGGAUUAGCGGCGGACGGGUGAGUAACACGUGAGUAACCUGCCUUUAACAUUGGGAUAGCCUCGGGAAACUGGGAUUAAUACCAAAUGACACUAACUGAUCACAUGAUCAAUUAGUCAAAGAAAUUCGGUCAAAGAUGGACUCGCGGCUGAUUAGCUAGUUGGUGAGGUAACGGUCCACCAAGGCGACGAUCAGUAGCCGGCCUGAGAGGGUGAUCGGCCACAUUGGAACUGAGACACGGUCCAAACUCCUACGGGAGGCAGCAGUGGGGAAUAUUGCACAAUGGGGGAAACCCUGAUGCAGCGACGCCGCGUGAGCGAAGAAGGCCUUCGGGUCGUAAAGCUCUUUUAUGAGGGAAGAUAAUGACGGUACCUCAAGAAAAAGCCCCGGCUAACUACGUG
RNAcentral lists this ribosomal RNA (479 nucleotides) under uncultured bacterium. RNAcentral describes it as "partial 16S ribosomal RNA". It matches the Rfam family "Bacterial small subunit ribosomal RNA", at positions 28 to 507 of the family's 1533-position model. The record is from RNAcentral.